CGUAAGGUCCGAGCGUUGUCCGGAAUCAUUGGGCGUAAAGGGUACGUAGGCGGGUAAGCAAGUUAGAAGUGAAAUCCUAUAGCUCAACUAUAGUAAGCUUUUAAAAACUGCUCAUCUUGAGGUAUGGAAGGGGAAAAGUGGAAUUCCUAGUGUAGCGGUGAAAUGCGCAGAUAUUAGGAGGAAUACCGGUGGCGAAAGGCGACUUUCUGGCCAUAACCUGACGCUGAGGUACGAAGCGUGGGUAGCAAACAGGAUU
This 256-nucleotide ribosomal RNA is filed under the name uncultured bacterium. RNAcentral's name for it is "partial 16S ribosomal RNA". It matches the Rfam family "Bacterial small subunit ribosomal RNA", at positions 526 to 779 of the family's 1533-position model. The record is from RNAcentral.